Molecule: transfer RNA, 88 nt
Filed under: Chloroflexota bacterium
Lineage: Bacteria; Bacillati; Chloroflexota
Also listed under: 1 other name
Description: Chloroflexi bacterium tRNA-Ser
Rfam family: tRNA
About the family: Transfer RNA (tRNA) molecules are approximately 80 nucleotides in length. Their secondary structure includes four short double-helical elements and three loops (D, anti-codon, and T loops).
Source: RNAcentral
GGAGGAAUGGCCGAGUGGACGAAGGCAACGGUCUUGAAAACCGUACUAGCGCAAGCUAGCGGGGGUUCGAAUCCCUCUUCCUCCGCCA